Molecule: ribosomal RNA, 292 nt
Filed under: uncultured bacterium
Lineage: Bacteria
Description: partial 16S ribosomal RNA
Rfam family: Bacterial small subunit ribosomal RNA
Source: RNAcentral
GUGCCAGCAGCCGCGGUAAUACGUAGGGUGCAAGCGUUGUCCGGAAUUAUUGGGCGUAAAGGGCUCGUAGGCGGUCCAUCGCGUCGGGAGUGAAAAGCUGGGGCUUAACCCCAGUCCUGCUUCCGAUACGGGUGGACUAGAGGUAGGUAGGGGAGAACGGAAUUCCUGGUGUAGCGGUGAAAUGCGCAGAUAUCAGGAGGAACACCGGUGGCGAAGGCGGUUCUCUGGGCCUUACCUGACGCUGAGGAGCGAAAGCAUGGGGAGCAAACAGGAUUAGAUACCCUGGUAGUCC